Molecule: long non-coding RNA, 523 nt
Filed under: Homo sapiens (human)
Lineage: Eukaryota; Metazoa; Chordata; Mammalia; Primates; Hominidae
Description: HSALNT0409073
Source: RNAcentral
CUGACUCCCAAGCCCAUGCUCUCCCAAGCUUAUCUUCCAGCAAGGGGUUCAUAUGCAGAAGGGACUUGCCUUUUCUCAGAUGAGAUGUUGGACUCGGACUUUUGAGUUAAUGCUGAAAUGAGCUAAGACUUUGGGGAACUGUUGGGAAGACAUGAUCGGUUUUGAAAUGCGAGAAGGACAUGAGAUGUGGGAGGGGCCAAGGGUGGAAUUAUAAGGUUUAGCUCUGUGUCCCCACCCAAAUUUCAUCUCGAAUUGUAAUUCCUAAUGUUGGGGAAGGGACCUGGUGGGAAGUGAUUGGAUCAUGGGGGUGGACUUCCCUCAUGCUGUUCUCCUGAUAAUGAGUGAGUUCUCAUGAGAUCUGCUUGUUUAAAGGUGUAUGGCACUUCCCCCCUUGCUCACGCUUUCUCUCUUCUGCUGCCAUGAGAAGAAAGUGCUUGCUUUCCCUUUGCUUUUCUCCCAUGAUUCAGUUUCUGAGGCCUCCCAGUCAUGCUUCCUGUUAAGUCUGUGGAACUUGGAGUCAAUU